GAAAUUUAAACUUAGAAAAUAUUAUUAUUCACGAAGCUAGGCGAGCUAAAUGUUCUCUAUAUUAGUAGAAUAUUUUUAAUGUAGCAAUAUUAAUAUACUAAGAAAAUUUAGGGGUGAAAGGCCUUUCAAGUCUAGCAAUAUCUUGAUUAUAAGGAAAUAUAUUUAGUAUACAGACAACCUAAUAAUGUUAAGGUUUUUAGGUAGCAUAAUUUUUGUUUUAAUUCUUGCUGUAUAUGUAAAAACUGCAGUUUAAAUAAAUUUAACAUAAAAUUCUAUAAAUAUAUGUAUAGUACUUAUGUGUUUAAGUUAUUAUAUAUAUUAAAUUACAAUUGAUUUCAUUAGUAUUUUUUUAAAUUUUAUUUAAGGAACUCGGCAAACCUAUUUCUCGACUGUUUAUCAAAAACAUUGCCUUAAGUUUAUUCUUUAAGGUUAACCCUGCUCAAUGAUGUAUUAAAUAGCCGCAGUACCUUGACUGUGCAAAGGUAGCAUAAUCAGUUGGCUUAUAAUUGAAGUCUAGUAUGAAUGGGAAUUCGGGGAUAAGCUGUCUUAGGUAAAGUACCAGAACUUUCUAAAUAAGUGAAAAUUCUUAUACAUAUAUAAUAGACGAGAAGACCCUAGAAAUUUUUUAAAUAUUGUUAUUAUUUUAUUUUGUUGGGGCGACAUGGUAACAAAUUUUAACUUACCAAAGUAUAUAAGAAACUAUUUAGUUGUAUAAUAUAAAUUACUCUAGGGAUAACAGCAUUAUUUAUUUUAAGAUUGUGACCUCGAUGUUGGACUAGGGAAUAUUCUACUUAAAAGGUAGACUAGUAAGCUCUGUUCGAGCUUAGUUACCUACAUGAUCUGAGUUCAGACCGG
RNAcentral lists this ribosomal RNA (855 nucleotides) under Anoplitella antonwagneri. Its description in RNAcentral is "partial 16S ribosomal RNA". The record is from RNAcentral. Lineage: Eukaryota; Metazoa; Mollusca; Gastropoda; Stylommatophora; Hygromiidae.